Molecule: ribosomal RNA, 254 nt
Filed under: uncultured bacterium
Lineage: Bacteria
Description: partial 16S ribosomal RNA
Rfam family: Bacterial small subunit ribosomal RNA
Source: RNAcentral
UACGGAGAGUGCAAGCGUUGUUCGGAAUUAUUGGGCGUAAAGCGCGUGUAGGCGGUCCAACAAGUCUGGCGUGAAAGCCUUGGGCUCAACCCAAGAAGUGCGCUGGAAACUGUCGGACUUGAGUACUGGAGGGGGAGGUGGAAUUCUCGAGUGUAGAGGUGAAAUUCGUAGAUAUUCGGAAGAACAUCAGUGGCGAAGGCGACCUCCUGGACAGAUACUGACGCUGAGACGCGAAAGCGUGGGUAGCAAACAGG